RNAcentral lists this long non-coding RNA (864 nucleotides) under Oryzias sinensis (Chinese medaka). RNAcentral describes it as "lncRNA (ENSOSIG00000016655.1)". Lineage: Eukaryota; Metazoa; Chordata; Actinopteri; Beloniformes; Adrianichthyidae. The record is from RNAcentral.
GUCGCCAGGGGUCAUGAGGGUCUCAGGGGCCCCGCUGGCUGUGCAGAGCAGCUGAAGCAGGCAUGGGCAACGUUUUGGAUGGCAUCAUCAGGCUCCGCCUCUCUGACAUCACCGGCCACAACCACCACUGGCUACGCAACAAGUUCUUCUAGUUUGCCGUCGUCUUCCAUUGAGACUUUGCAAUGAGAAUGUCGGACAUUGCAAAUACUGAAACGAUGAAGGUUUCCGAGGCGGCUGAAAGGCUGACAUCUGCGAAAGACAACGCCAGCAACUCUGAGGCGUCAGAGCCGAGCCAAAGCUGCAGGGACGAACACGAUGGCAGCAGCAACAAGCAGUCCAGCACCAGGCUAAAGCUCGUGCGGAGUUUGGCAGUGUGCGAAGAAUCCUUGCCCUGCCCCAUUCCCGAGCCUCCGGCAGCACCGCAGGUAACGCUCCCCGCCCACAGCCUGAGUGUUUUUUGACCUUGUGUAGUGCUAAACCUGCUGGUGGAAACCAAUUCCAUCCGAACAUUACAAUCAGUGCACGGAAAGUUAUUAUAAUCAGAAGGGGUGGGGCUUUAAUUGGGCUGUUCUUCCUUCUGUUAUUGAGCUCUAAUUUUGCAUUAAUGCAAGCGUGGCAUCCCAUAAUCUGUGCUCAAACACUACUAAGCUGGUUACUAUGGAGGUUCUGAUGAGAAGCCAAGUCUGCAGAAACAGAAACCUGCCAAAAAUCUUAGGAGAUCUUCUUUAUUCAGAUUUUUGAUUGCAAGUUUAACUGUUAAAAAAAAAAAAGUUUUUAAAUGCAUUCUUGAAAUUUUAAAGAUUAAAAUCAGCUUUCCUUCAGUUUUUAUUGUAGUAAUUCCACAUAUUACUAGACGUUUUAUUU